This 638-nucleotide unclassified non-coding RNA is filed under the name Aspergillus amstelodami. Its description in RNAcentral is "sequence contains ITS1, 5.8S rRNA gene and ITS2". The stretch from base 155 to 308 matches the Rfam family "5.8S ribosomal RNA". The record is from RNAcentral. Lineage: Eukaryota; Fungi; Ascomycota; Eurotiomycetes; Eurotiales; Aspergillaceae.
AAAAAAGAAGGGAUUCGAGCGGAGGACACUGCGUCCACCUCCGUCCGUGUCUUUCUGUGCGCUGUUGCUUCGGCGUGGCCUCGGCCCUCCGGAGACUAACAUUUGAACGCUGUCUGAAGUUUGCAGUCUGAGUUUUUAGUUAAACAAUCGUUAAAACUUUCAACAACGGAUCUCUUGGUUCCGGCAUCGAUGAAGAACGCAGCGAAAUGCGAUAAUUAAUGUGAAUUGCAGAAUUCAGUGAAUCAUCGAGUCUUUGAACGCACAUUGCGCCCCCUGGUAUUCCGGGGGGCAUGCCUGUCCGAGCGUCAUUGCUGCCCUCAAGCACGGCUUGUGGGUUGGGCUUCCGUCCCUGGCAACGGGGACGGGCCCAAAAGGCAGUGGCGGCACCAUGUCUGGUCCUCAAGGGUAUGGGGCUAUGUCACCCGCUCCGGUAAGUCCGCCUGGAACCUAGCAUCGAAACCAAUCAUUUUAACCGGGUUGACCUCGGAUCAGGUACGAAUCCCGGUUAAACUAAGGAAAUAUCGGUAAGACGGAGGAAUUCAUCUUAACCUUAAAAGAAAAAAUUCAUUUUAAAAAUUCUUAAUACAUCGUAACAAAACUAUUAAUAACCCAUUCACGAUCGAUCCCGAUAAGUGUUU